AGGGCUGUUGCUAGAACUUGCAACAUUCUGACUGGAUUACCAAUUAACCAAAGCGUCCGUUGCAAUGCUGGUUGCUUGGUUACCUUUAAGCUGUAUUUUAUGGUGACAUUGCUCGCUACUUAUGAAAGCACCACUGAUCUCGACAAGGGGUGCAACUUUGAUAGGGGGGCAGAGAAAUUCACAAUUCAGGGUAACGUUAAGCAGUUAAUUUCUAUUACUGUCACUGUUUGAUAACUGGAAGGAUUCAUGUACAACCAUUUAACAACAAAAAAUUAAUCUUGCUAACGUAAAUUGGUCAUCUACAUGUUACUAGCUAUACAUUUAGUUAUAUGUCUGUCACAUUGAGGUGUCUAGCUACUGUGUAAGUUAACCCUGAUCAAUCAAAUGGAUAGCUGUAAACAAUUAUGGUAACUCCAACUGCCCUUAACUAGGUGUCUUCGUCAGACAGAGAGACCCAUACAGAAAGAGAGAGGAAGAAAGUGAGAAAUGAGAAGGUGGGAAAAGAGUGAAAGACAGAGAUAGAGAUGAAGAGUGAGUGAAACAGAAAGAGAAAGACAUCAGUGCAAAUUUACAAAGACUUUAGUAUUUCAACAACUCUUCCAACUUGUUAGGCAAUCACAUGUGCCUGCGGGGGAAGGAUGGCCAGACACACAGGAGGGUGAUUUUCACUAAGGAGGAAAAGGAGACGGUGCUGACAGAGAUGCAUGCUGGACAUUUCGGAGUGAAGCGAAUGACUGCCAAAAUCAUCCUACGCUUCUUCUGGCAUGGGAUUGUCAAGGAUGUGGACAGCUGGGACAAGACUGGCGAGUCCACCUCCAAAGUGAUGAUGGACAUCUUUAACACUCACUGUGCUCCUGAGGUAACCUUGAGUGAUCGAGGUCGUGAACUCUGGAACAAGGGUUACCUCGUUGGAAGCCAACAUUCUUCUCCAGUUGGAGCAGUUGGACGGUCAAUCCACUGCAAGCCCUGACUCCUUACACCUCGGUGAAGCCCAUGAGACAAAAUGAAAUUCUGCAUCUAGUGAUUUCUGAUUGCCAAACAAUCUGCACACUCAUCCCAUCCCCUCCAUUUCAUUACAUAAUCUAAAGCUACUGUUAUUGUUAUGUUGUCAUUAUCUGCUAAUACAGUUUGCUAGCCGUAUCAUACUGGGCAUAUAAUAUGUGAGAUACGCAGAUGAACUAAAAACCACUAGCACUGCAAACACUCAGAACAAAGAAGCAGCAGUGCCUGGACUUCGCAGUCUCCCUCUUCAAGUCCCACUUCCAAGACUGCCUGUUAAGAACAAGUGACAGGCAGAACCUCCCAAUCACACAGCACCCACCUCUUUAUUCCACACACCAGAAUUAAGUAUUUCAGUCUGAUUGCCAUGUGAGUGUACAAAAAAGUAUCUGUGAAAAUAAAUUAAUGACACAACUGUACCAAAAAAAACGUUUCAUGUAUUAAAAUCUUAAAUAUUGCCAG
Molecule: long non-coding RNA, 1461 nt
Organism: Oncorhynchus tshawytscha (Chinook salmon)
Lineage: Eukaryota; Metazoa; Chordata; Actinopteri; Salmoniformes; Salmonidae
Source: Ensembl